AAGUACACUCUCCUUUCUUACUCUGUGCCAGCAAUAAAUUGCGUAAACUAAAGCCAACCAAAAUCAACAUACAAAUCAAAUUCAUAAUGUUCUCAUUUUAACACUCAUCCAGAACAUCAAAAGAUACAUAAGCAAACAAGAAAAUGGAAUGAAUAAUAUACCACCCCCAUUUAAUGUCUAAUUCCAAUUUUUAAUUAUCACCGUAACACAUGAAAAGCAAAAAAAAUCCAAAUUCCAGAUCUGACAAAUUUCAACCUAAGCAUAAUAGGAUAUAUAUCCAAAUGAAAAUUUAGCAAAAUCUAAACCACAUAUCACAGCAAAAUUAAAUUCAAGCAAACCUUAAGAAAACAACAUAUAAUCCAAAACUUCAAAAAAAAUACUACCUAGAAGGGGAUUUGAUCAUGAGUGAAUGGUACAAUGGAAAGUGGUUUGACCGGAUUCUCGCAGUGGAGGCCA
RNAcentral lists this long non-coding RNA (456 nucleotides) under Lathyrus oleraceus (garden pea). RNAcentral describes it as "Pisum sativum (pea) long non-coding RNA (PSAT_LNC028296)". The record is from RNAcentral. Lineage: Eukaryota; Viridiplantae; Streptophyta; Magnoliopsida; Fabales; Fabaceae.